Molecule: ribosomal RNA, 576 nt
Filed under: Vibrio sp. HZBN12
Lineage: Bacteria; Pseudomonadati; Pseudomonadota; Gammaproteobacteria; Vibrionales; Vibrionaceae
Description: bacterial SSU rRNA
Rfam family: Bacterial small subunit ribosomal RNA
Source: RNAcentral
CCUGAUGCAGCCAUGCCGCGUGUAUGAAGAAGGCCUUCGGGUUGUAAAGUACUUUCAGUUGUGAGGAAGGGGGUGUCGUUAAUAGCGGCAUCUCUUGACGUUAGCAACAGAAGAAGCACCGGCUAACUCCGUGCCAGCAGCCGCGGUAAUACGGAGGGUGCGAGCGUUAAUCGGAAUUACUGGGCGUAAAGCGCAUGCAGGUGGUUCAUUAAGUCAGAUGUGAAAGCCCGGGGCUCAACCUCGGAACUGCAUUUGAAACUGGUGAACUAGAGUACUGUAGAGGGGGGUAGAAUUUCAGGUGUAGCGGUGAAAUGCGUAGAGAUCUGAAGGAAUACCAGUGGCGAAGGCGGCCCCCUGGACAGAUACUGACACUCAGAUGCGAAAGCGUGGGGAGCAAACAGGAUUAGAUACCCUGGUAGUCCACGCCGUAGACGAUGUCUACUUGGAGGUUGUGGCCUUGAGCCGUGGCUUUCGGAGCUAACGCGUUAAGUAGACCGCCUGGGGAGUACGGUCGCAAGAUUAAAACUCAAAUGAAUUGACGGGGGCCCGCACAAGCGGUGGAGCAUGUGGUUUAAU